This 821-nucleotide long non-coding RNA is filed under the name Manacus vitellinus (golden-collared manakin). RNAcentral describes it as "lncRNA (ENSMVIG00005001167.1)". The record is from RNAcentral. Lineage: Eukaryota; Metazoa; Chordata; Aves; Passeriformes; Pipridae.
CCUCAACUGAAAAGGCAAGCGCUCCCCGGCGCCCGCCUUAUAUACCCGCCCCGCCGCCGGACUCGUUGCGCUCCGCUCUGCGCAUGGAUAUACACCGCAUGCCACUGGCGAAAAAGCACGAAUCCCCCCGGAAUGAGCCCCCUUUCCCAAGGUUGUGCCCAGGAACAGCUGCCUGUGUUUUCCUGGGAUCCACCAACACAAGCAAGCAUGGACAUGGACUAGUGCAUGGACAGGACAAGAUGCAGAAUUGUCUUGGCUAAUUUCCUGGGCAAACAGACUGUGCAUCUUUAUGCAGAAGGAAACAGAGGGAAGUGAGAACUGUGAAGGACUGCUGCCUCAGAGCUGCUGUUACCAUAGAGCUGCUAACGAGGAAAAAACUGCAGCAUGGAUUUCUUGUGCUGUUGAAGCCAACUGGUCUGUUAUGGCUCCUGUGAUAAGUGCAUCCAGUGGAAAGUGGAGAGGCAUCCACCAAAUUCAGACAGUGCUUCUAAUAAAUAUAUUUUUGCUCUUCACUUUUAAAACCAAUAUAAUUCUUUGGCAUAUCUCUGGAUUCUGCAGAGAAUUCUGAUUCUCUGUGGCUCAGUUUGAACUGAAACAGUAAGGUAAGUAAUUUAAUGCCUGAUCUUCAACCCACAGAUCAGCACUUUUCUCUUCAUGGCAGAAGAGAAAAGAAUCUCUGUCAAGUUUCAAAUCCCUGUUACUCCAUAUUAGUAGGAGUUACUUCUUUGGAGCUUAUGGUUGAGUCUUCACUGAGUAGCAGACUGAAACCAGUGCAGGAACAGCAGUACUACCAGUACUGCAGAAAGAUACCUUACCCAAUU